Molecule: ribosomal RNA, 252 nt
Filed under: uncultured bacterium
Lineage: Bacteria
Description: partial 16S ribosomal RNA
Rfam family: Bacterial small subunit ribosomal RNA
Source: RNAcentral
ACAGAGGUCCCGAGCGUUGUUCGGAUUCACUGGGCGUAAAGGGUGCGUAGGUGGCGUGGUAAGUCAGAUGUGAAAUCUCCGAGCCCAACUCGGAAACGUCAUUUGAAACUCUCAUGCUAGAGGAUUGGAGAGGGGACUGGAAUUCUCGGUGUAGCAGUGAAAUGCGUAGAUAUCGAGAGGAACACCAGUGGCGAAGGCGAGUCCCUGGACAACUCCUGACACUGAGGCACGAAAGCUAGGGGAGCAAACAGG